GCUUUCACCCCUCUGUCCAUCUCUUCCUUCCACCACUCCAUUACCAUCCCCACAUCGCUGCUGAUUUACCAUGCGGAGGCUCCAUUACCAUCCCCACAUCGCUGAUGAUUUCCCAUGCGGAGGAGGUCCUGUGACACCGAUGCCCUCACCCAGCUGCCGACGGCGGCACUUUUUGUUCGUGCCCAAGCGCCCAGUGAGGUCACCUCUCACCUCCCUUCUAUGGUGCCACCGCCCCAACCCAUACACAGCUUCCUCUUCCCCACUCCCAUGGUAGCAGAUCUGAGCAGUACAGGGUUCCUUCGGUCCUGGUGGUUCGGACUGAGGUGUGCGGCCUCUGCUCCCUUAUCUUCUGGCGACUAGGAGCAUGGUGGCUGGUGCCACAAUCUCUAUUAGCCAUCUAUGGUGGCAACGAUAUCAGGAAGCUCUCUCUUUCUCUCUCUAGUUAGUCCUAGUUUGCCAGAAGAGAAGCGAUGCCCUAUUGUUUAUGUAUGGUGAUGAUGAGUCCAUGUUGUUGUCUAACUAAUUCACUCUGUGGCGGUCCAGAUUAUAUGCUUGAGAAGAUCGACAGCGUCGACAAGAGUAUCAGCUGGUAUCUCUACAUCCUCUUCUACAACCAUUUAGGCACAACAGUGGCUGGGCUGCGGAAUGUAACUUCACCAGCGACUUGAUUUUGAAUGCUGACCACUACAAUGAAAGCAACGCAGGAGCUUGCUCUUGGAUCAAUGGGCUUGGAGAAUGAGUUUGCAAAUGUUGUAAUGCAUCAGCUUGAAGGGUUCAGUCGACACAUGGUGUGUCCGCAUUUUCCUAUCUACCUGAAGGGCCUACAUGAGCGUUGCCAAUAUCAGUGUGCUUUGUGCUGCAGAAAUGGAUAUUCAAAAACCUCUAGCACAUGAUUUCCUGGGAAUUCCUGGCUAUGUACAGUUCACCUCUCGUAUUCGAAGAUAUAUCGACCUGCUAGCUCAUGAUCAGGAAAGACAUGCAAGAGGACGAGGAACCAUGAAGCCAGUGGUUCGUGUCAAUGAGAUAUUUUAUGUAAUGGUGACUGGAUCGUUGGAGAUGCAUUUUAUGUAUCAUUUUGUAAUGUUGUGUCUGAGAAAAUGAACCAUAUUGUAAUGGAUGAACUAUUUAGACGUGAAAUUAAUUAAUGUGUUAUUGUUUGGUUAUGGC
Triticum aestivum (bread wheat) is the source of this 1167-nucleotide long non-coding RNA. RefSeq lists it as uncharacterized. Lineage: Eukaryota; Viridiplantae; Streptophyta; Magnoliopsida; Poales; Poaceae. The transcript is spliced from 4 exons. The record is from RefSeq and is a predicted model, not a curated record.